Molecule: ribosomal RNA, 253 nt
Filed under: uncultured bacterium
Lineage: Bacteria
Description: partial 16S ribosomal RNA
Rfam family: Bacterial small subunit ribosomal RNA
Source: RNAcentral
UACGAAGGGGGCGAGCGUUGUUCGGAAUCACUGGGCGUAAAGGGCGCGUAGGCGGCCGAUCAAGUCAGAUGUGAAAGUCCUGGGCUUAACCUGGGGACUGCAUUUGAUACUGAUUGGCUUGAAUGCAGGAGAGGAUAGCGGAAUUCCCAGUGUAGAGGUGAAAUUCGUAGAUAUUGGGAAGAACACCGGUGGCGAAGGCGGCUAUCUGGACUGUGAUUGACGCUGAGGCGCGAAAGCGUGGGGAGCAAACAGG